This 27-nucleotide non-coding RNA is filed under the name Homo sapiens (human). The record is from RNAcentral. Lineage: Eukaryota; Metazoa; Chordata; Mammalia; Primates; Hominidae.
GAGUGUUCUGUGAUGAUGGAAAUGGUC